This is a long non-coding RNA of Brachypodium distachyon (stiff brome), 1248 nucleotides long. RefSeq lists it as uncharacterized. The record is from RefSeq and is a predicted model, not a curated record. The transcript is spliced from 5 exons. Lineage: Eukaryota; Viridiplantae; Streptophyta; Magnoliopsida; Poales; Poaceae.
GGGGGCUCUCAUUCACAACUUUAUGAUCUUUUGUCACUCUUGAGAGUGCCGAGACCUGACCAGACUCUUCACAAGGACCAGCAACUCUUGCAGAAGUUUCCCCUGCUCCGGCACCUGCGUUGUCAGCGGUAGCAGUGCCACUGCCUCUUCAGUUCGGUAGCUAUGCAGAGCAGUGUUGCAAGGCAGCCUGAGAGCGGGCUGCUGAGCUUGGUAAGCAGGAAGUACAGGCCAAGGAGCAGCUCUGGCGUCAUUUCUGGUGACCUGAUACAGCUUCUGAGAAAUCUCUGACAAAGUAGGGGACAUCGCCUGCCUUGAAAGGGAUCAUACGAUUGGGAUUACUGGGACCAUCACCUAUUUUGUCAUGCUGCCGUGGCAUUCCAGACAGCGAAAAUUCUUGAGUAGUCGGGUCUGCAAAUUGAGGCGAAAUGAUUAGAGUAAGAACAUCAUGGAAUAAGUAAUUCCACUAUUUAUUGAUAACCCAAGCAAUCAGAUAUUUGCAAGGACAUACUCAGUGACUGAAGAUCUAGGUCUUCAGUUGUCUCCCUAGGACGCUUGUUUCUUAUUGAUGAUUGCAGGGGUACAUUAAUGGUUGAUGCAGAAGCAGCACCAUCAGCCGGUUCAAUUUCCCAAGGAGAAACCCUCUCAGAACAUGACCAUUGCGGAGAAAGAGCCCCAUCGCCAACUAUAGUUCCAGAAAACCUGCAGGUACAUGGCAGCCAUGUGAAAAAUGAGAUGAUGGCAGAACAUGAGCAAAAGACUGAAAGAGGAAUAUAUGCGACCAGAGGUUGAACCCUUACUUCUUCACAGGGGCAAUGUUGACGUAGAUAGAGAUGAAGGGUGGAGGUGGAUGAUGUGGUGCCCACCGCGGAAGCAAGAAAAGCUAGCAGGCAUCUGAUCUAUGCUUUGUGUAGGGGAUUUGGAAGGAGCGAAAGCGUAGGAUUUUUGGUGUGAAGGCACUCCCAGCCCUUGACGCGGCAUAUUUGAUUUGGGAAGAGAUUGACACGUACUCCAUGCUGACUCGGGAGACAAGGCUAGCUUUUAUUUCCUUAUUUUUUAUUCUUCUACUCUCCCCUCUCCUCCCCGGGGCCCUUGCUCAGGACCCAUGUACACUUAUGUUACCUUUUUAAUCGAAGGACAGAACCGACCGUACUGUGUAAAUUAAUGGUCUCUCUUCUGCUUUCCUUAAUCAUUAGCUAGUACCAGAUGCAUUUUGUAAGUUUGAGAUCAACUAAAGCAUCUUUGCAUCUU